Molecule: ribosomal RNA, 253 nt
Filed under: uncultured bacterium
Lineage: Bacteria
Description: partial 16S ribosomal RNA
Rfam family: Bacterial small subunit ribosomal RNA
Source: RNAcentral
UACGAAGGGGGCUAGCGUUGUUCGGAAUUACUGGGCGUAAAGCGCACGUAGGCGGGUUGUUAAGUCAGGGGUGAAAUCCCGGAGCUCAACUCCGGAACUGCCUUUGAUACUGGCAAUCUAGAGACUGGAAGAGGUUAGUGGAAUUCCCAGUGUAGAGGUGAAAUUCGUAGAUAUUGGGAAGAACACCAGUGGCGAAGGCGGCUAACUGGUCCAGUACUGACGCUGAGGUGCGAAAGCGUGGGGAGCAAUCAGG